UAUUAAAAAUGAAGGAGUUCAGAGCCUUAGACGGCACUUGAGUUCAUCCAAUAGGAUCAGAACGUGAAUUGAAGGACCCUAUCCAACACAUAGAUUGAAAUACAUCACUGCCCCAACAAACUUUGCACUAGCCGGGAGCGCCAAAAAUCCAAAUUUUAUUCAAAAUUUUCCUUUUGGUUUUAGUUUUUUAUCUCCUUCUCAUAAACUGCUCUGCCCUCACAGAGAGCCCUUUUGGUUUCAGUUUACAGAGAGCCCUCACCCGAUCACUCACACUACUAUGCCUCCUACCUGUGGCCACCGCCAAACUUCUAGGUCGCACUCCUGCCAGCUUCCAACCUCGCAACUCAGGCGACCACCACCCUCUCUCGUGCUUCGUGGUCAUAGGUUACAAAGCCCUAACUCGCUCACACUACUCUGCCUCUGCCUGUGGCUGCCUCCGACCCUACGGUCUCAGACCUUGCACCCUUGCCAACCUCCGACCUUGCACCUCAGGCAACCUCCACCCUCGUAGUUCGCGCUCAUAGGUAACAGCUCUCACACCAACUCAUUUCUGCCUCCUGCAUGUGGCCGCCUCUAGAUCUCCGGUCUCGGACCUCGCACCCCCGCCAGCCUCCGACCCUUGCCACUUUGCGUCUUUAGUUGUUUUCUUGUUUCUUCACCCAUUGCAAAUACUGAAUCCGUCCCCACCUCAAAGCUGAGAGCUUGGUGCUACUUGGUGAUUCAUUCUUCCGUGAGAGAGAGAGUAUCAUAGAGCUAUUCAUUUUAGAAAUGGAGGAAAGUUGUGAACUCAUAAUCUAUUAUGUUGAUGAACAACAUAGCUACAAGCAAGCUUUGCAGUACAACAAGAUGGUCCCCAAACAGAAUAUGCAAGUGUCCCGUAGUUCAAUACCAUCAAACAGGUCGCCGUCUCCAAAUUCUUGCAAUGCAUCAGGAAUCAACGAGAAUAAGGACUCAUGUAGCAGAAGAAAAGAUUUAAUUAAAGUGAAACUGGAGGUUGGGGUUCCUUUUUGAUUGGAGGUAUUUUUUAUGAGAUAAUCUUUGAGCAUGAAAUGAAUGAAUGCAGUUUUUUGUCGCAAAAAUGCAAGUUAUUUAUAGAUCGGAUUGUCUUCUUGGAACAUGUUGUUUUGGAGCUGAAUAGGAGGAAAUAUAUAUGGUGAUUACUAUGGAGGUGUUGAUUGGUCAUAUACUAAUGUAUAAGCAUAAGUGGAAUGGAGAGGAGGGUGAUUUGCAAGAGUUAAGGAGACUAUAAAGAAGAGUUAGGUGUUUUUUAAUAUUUCAUAUAUGGUAGUUCAGUAGGUUCUGCAUUAUUUGUUUUAUGAUUGUAGUUUUAGCAUUUUGUUUUGAUCUUUUUAUUGAUGGUUGUCUGAAAACUUUGUUUUUAUGUUUCUGGUACUUUGUUUUGUGACUCACUCCCUUGUUGGGAUUGUUGAAAGUUUGUAGUGAUCGCAAAAAAAAAACUUAUCAUUCCUAAUAAACUACAAAUUUCAGACAUUGGUGAAA
Molecule: non-coding RNA, 1500 nt
Organism: Arachis ipaensis
Lineage: Eukaryota; Viridiplantae; Streptophyta; Magnoliopsida; Fabales; Fabaceae
Source: RefSeq, a predicted model, not a curated record